GACGAACGCUGGCGGCGUGCUUAACACAUGCAAGUCGAACGGAAAGGCCCUGCUUUUGUGGGGUGCUCGAGUGGCGAACGGGUGAGUAACACGUGAGUAACCUGCCCUUGACUUUGGGAUAACUUCAGGAAACUGGGGCUAAUACCGGAUAGGAGCUCCUGCUGCAUGGUGGGGGUUGGAAAGUUUCGGCGGUGGGGGAUGGACUCGCGGCUUAUCAGCUUGUUGGUGGGGUAGUGGCUUACCAAGGCUUUGACGGGUAGCCGGCCUGAGAGGGUGACCGGCCACAUUGGGACUGAGAUACGGCCCAGACUGCUACGGGAGGCAGAAGUGGGGAAUAUUGCACAAUGGGCGGAAGCCUGAUGCAGCAACGCCGCGUGCGGGAUGACGGCCUUCGGGUUGUAAACCGCUUUCGCCUGUGACGAAGCGUGAGUGACGGUAAUGGGUAAAGAAGCACCGGCUAACUACGUG
RNAcentral lists this ribosomal RNA (468 nucleotides) under uncultured bacterium. RNAcentral describes it as "partial 16S ribosomal RNA". It matches the Rfam family "Bacterial small subunit ribosomal RNA", at positions 28 to 507 of the family's 1533-position model. The record is from RNAcentral.